Molecule: ribosomal RNA, 3089 nt
Filed under: Salmonella enterica subsp. enterica serovar Abeokuta
Lineage: Bacteria; Pseudomonadati; Pseudomonadota; Gammaproteobacteria; Enterobacterales; Enterobacteriaceae
Description: 23S ribosomal RNA
Rfam family: Bacterial large subunit ribosomal RNA
Source: RNAcentral
GGUUAAGCGACUAAGCGUACACGGUGGAUGCCCUGGCAGUCAGAGGCGAUGAAGGGCGUGCUAAUCUGCGAUAAGCGCCGGUAAGGUGAUAUGAACCGUUAUAACCGGCGAUACCCGAAUGGGGAAACCCAGUGUGACUCGUCACACUAUCAUUAACUGAAUCCAUAGGUUAAUGAGGCGAACCGGGGGAACUGAAACAUCUAAGUACCCCGAGGAAAAGAAAUCAACCGAGAUUCCCCCAGUAGCGGCGAGCGAACGGGGAGGAGCCCAGAGCCUGAAUCAGCAUGUGUGUUAGUGGAAGCGUCUGGAAAGGCGCGCGAUACAGGGUGACAGCCCCGUACACAAAAGCGCAUGUGCUGUGAGCUCGAUGAGUAGGGCGGGACACGUGGUAUCCUGUCUGAAUAUGGGGGGACCAUCCUCCAAGGCUAAAUACUCCUGACUGACCGAUAGUGAACCAGUACCGUGAGGGAAAGGCGAAAAGAACCCCGGCGAGGGGAGUGAAAAAGAACCUGAAACCGUGUACGUACAAGCAGUGGGAGCCCCACCACCAAAGCAUUCUCUGGUGUUGAAGGCCCUGCAAAGCAGCAUCGCGGUGGCGGAGCGUCGUUUGCGACGCCCAACACACAAAACAAGCGGUGAGUGCUUUGGGGUGGGGUGACUGCGUACCUUUUGUAUAAUGGGUCAGCGACUUAUAUUCUGUAGCAAGGUUAACCGAAUAGGGGAGCCGGAGGGAAACCGAGUCUUAAUUGGGCGUUAAGUUGCAGGGUAUAGACCCGAAACCCGGUGAUCUAGCCAUGGGCAGGUUGAAGGUUGGGUAACACUAACUGGAGGACCGAACCGACUAAUGUUGAAAAAUUAGCGGAUGACCUGUGGCUGGGGGUGAAAGGCCAAUCAAACCGGGAGAUAGCUGGUUCUCCCCGAAAGCUAUUUAGGUAGCGCCUCGUGAAUUCAUCUCCGGGGGUAGAGCACUGUUUCGGCUAGGGGGCCAUCCCGGCUUACCAACCCGAUGCAAACUGCGAAUACCGGAGAAUGUUAUCACGGGAGACACACGGCGGGUGCUAACGUCCGUCGUGAAGAGGGAAACAACCCAGACCGCCAGCUAAGGUCCCAAAGUCAUGGUUAAGUGGGAAACGAUGUGGGAAGGCCCAGACAGCCAGGAUGUUGGCUUAGAAGCAGCCAUCAUUUAAAGAAAGCGUAAUAGCUCACUGGUCGAGUCGGCCUGCGCGGAAGAUGUAACGGGGCUAAACCAUGCACCGAAGCUGCGGCAGCGAACGUAUCACUUAAAGCGAUUCAGCGGGUUACGAUUGACGGAGCGAAGCGACGUCAAAGCGUAUACAAAGUCGAGUCGGUUUAAGGAUACGUUCGUUGGGUAGGGGAGCGUUCUGUAAGCCUGUGAAGGUGGCCUGUGAGGGUUGCUGGAGGUAUCAGAAGUGCGAAUGCUGACAUAAGUAACGAUAAAGCGGGUGAAAAGCCCGCUCGCCGGAAGACCAAGGGUUCCUGUCCAACGUUAAUCGGGGCAGGGUGAGUCGACCCCUAAGGCGAGGCCGAAAGGCGUAGUCGAUGGGAAACGGGUUAAUAUUCCCGUACUUGGUGUUACUGCGAAGGGGGGACGGAGAAGGCUAUGUUGGCCGGGCGACGGUUGUCCCGGUUUAAGCGUGUAGGUGUGUGUUCCAGGUAAAUCCGGUUCACUUUAACACUGAGGCGUGACGACGAGGCACUACGGUGCUGAAGCAACAAAUGCCCUGCUUCCAGGAAAAGCCUCUAAGCAUCAGGUAACAUCAAAUCGUACCCCAAACCGACACAGGUGGUCAGGUAGAGAAUACCAAGGCGCUUGAGAGAACUCGGGUGAAGGAACUAGGCAAAAUGGUGCCGUAACUUCGGGAGAAGGCACGCUGACAUGUAGGUGAAGUGAUUUACUCAUGGAGCUGAAGUCAGUCGAAGAUACCAGCUGGCUGCAACUGUUUAUUAAAAACACAGCACUGUGCAAACACGAAAGUGGACGUAUACGGUGUGACGCCUGCCCGGUGCCGGAAGGUUAAUUGAUGGGGUCAGCGCAAGCGAAGCUCCUGAUCGAAGCCCCGGUAAACGGCGGCCGUAACUAUAACGGUCCUAAGGUAGCGAAAUUCCUUGUCGGGUAAGUUCCGACCUGCACGAAUGGCGUAAUGAUGGCCAGGCUGUCUCCACCCGAGACUCAGUGAAAUUGAACUCGCUGUGAAGAUGCAGUGUACCCGCGGCAAGACGGAAAGACCCCGUGAACCUUUACUAUAGCUUGACACUGAACAUUGAGCCUUGAUGUGUAGGAUAGGUGGGAGGCUUUGAAGUGUGGACGCCAGUCUGCAUGGAGCCGACCUUGAAAUACCACCCUUUAAUGUUUGAUGUUCUAACGUGGACCCGUAAUCCGGGUUGCGGACAGUGUCUGGUGGGUAGUUUGACUGGGGCGGUCUCCUCCUAAAGAGUAACGGAGGAGCACGAAGGUUGGCUAAUCCUGGUCGGACAUCAGGAGGUUAGUGCAAUGGCAUAAGCCAGCUUGACUGCGAGCGUGACGGCGCGAGCAGGUGCGAAAGCAGGUCAUAGUGAUCCGGUGGUUCUGAAUGGAAGGGCCAUCGCUCAACGGAUAAAAGGUACUCCGGGGAUAACAGGCUGAUACCGCCCAAGAGUUCAUAUCGACGGCGGUGUUUGGCACCUCGAUGUCGGCUCAUCACAUCCUGGGGCUGAAGUAGGUCCCAAGGGUAUGGCUGUUCGCCAUUUAAAGUGGUACGCGAGCUGGGUUUAGAACGUCGUGAGACAGUUCGGUCCCUAUCUGCCGUGGGCGCUGGAGAACUGAGGGGGGCUGCUCCUAGUACGAGAGGACCGGAGUGGACGCAUCACUGGUGUUCGGGUUGUCAUGCCAAUGGCACUGCCCGGUAGCUAAAUGCGGAAGAGAUAAGUGCUGAAAGCAUCUAAGCACGAAACUUGCCCCGAGAUGAGUUCUCCCUGAGACUUAAAGUCUCCUGAAGGAACGUUGAAGACGACGACGUUGAUAGGCCGGGUGUGUAAGCGCAGCGAUGCGUUGAGCUAACCGGUACUAAUGAACCGUGAGGCUUAACCUU